UUAUAUUGGCCCCAAAUAUCCUACAACCCAUGGCUUUUCUUCCCUGCAACCCCCCACUCCUGCCUUUCGGGUACUAGCUCUGGGGUGUUCAGAACAAGGGGGUUUAAUACACCCAGGCAGACGUGGAGGGGAGACAGGAGUUGCAGCUUUGCUGGGCCCUGCUGCCAAGGUACUGCUGAACGGCCUGAGCUCUGGGAAAUAAAUUCCGUAAACAGAGUCUAGGCAGAGACCAUUAAAAGUGUUUUCCUAGCAUCUCUUUAUGGGGCAGAACGCUGUCACACUCAGGCUGCUGCAGGGUGGCUGGGCUCUUGUGUUGGCUUGAGGUCCCCCGCACAAACGAGCUUGUUUUUCCCAUUUUCAGUGAGGGGCCUUAAAAUAGACAGAAAAAUCCUUCUCACACCUGCUGACUGCAGUGAACCGAGGCAGGCAAGCCAGGCAGAGGCCGCUCGCCAAACAUCAUCCACUUUGUCCAUCCCCAUCACAUUUCAGGUUAAUGGUGUCUGUGGAUGCAAGUGCAAAGCUGGAAAUGAAAAGAACCUUCCAGAGGAAGCAAACAGCACUGUACAGGCUGCUGUGUUCUGGCCUUCAAAAAGACAGUGGACUUUCUUACUUUGAGCCAUAGAUCAAAAUGUCACAAUGAAGUACAAAGAUGUUCAUUUGAACAUUAAUUGUAAUGGCAAAAACUAGUGGAAAAAACCCAAAUAGUAGAAUAUAUACAUGUGAUAGUUAUGAGAACUUUACAAAUCACAUUUAUUCUGGGUUCACAUUUAUUCAUUUGAAAAUAAGCAAGGGCUUAUUUUCAAGAUCGCUUAAAGGAAGAAUUCACCAACAGGAAGUAAGCCAUAGGUUGGGAGAGACCGGGGGGCCUGGGUGGAUGCUGGGUUGAGGGUACUAGGUGAGCUCCCAAUGGCCCAGUAUGUCAUUUCACCUGCAGGAGGGCAGCCCAUGAGAUGGGAAGUUUUGCGCUUUGCUCACUGAUGUAUCCACCAUGCCUGACACUCACUAAAUAUGCAUCAAAUGGAAAAAUGUACAUCACAUUUAUGAAGAUUUUAAUGACAAGGGAAAACAUUUUUGAUACUAUGUUAAGAAAAGAGGUAAGAAACAAAACCACAUGUAUAUGUAUGGGGAAAAAAGCUAGAAGAAAUUACAUGAAGGUGUUAACUAUGGCUCUGUCUGAGAUGUAAAAUUAGCGGUGACUUUCUUUCCUUAUAAUUUUCUGUGUUUUUUAGCAAAAUAAUUUACCAAUUACUAUGACUUAACCAAUAACAAACAGGGAGAUUGAAAAAGCUGCAACAUGGCCUGGAAAACAAUUGUUCCUCCCACAGACAUUCCUGUGGUCCACUGGGGAAGUGAGCAGCCUGGGACUGCAGUGGUUAACUCCCCACCAGGCUCAGGAGAGAAGGAGUGUCCACCCUCAGACCCGGUGGGAAUCAGGAUCCCUGACCCCUCUACCUUUAACUCCACCAGACCACAUAAGCAGGUGAAUAUGUUAUGGGUUCAACUGGAUCCCCUAAAGAAGAUACACUGAAGUCCUAAUCCCCAUUACCUCAGAACGUGACCUUAUUUGGAAAGAGCAUCACUACAGAGAUAAUCAAGUUAAAAUGAGGUCAUUAGGGUGGGCCCUAAUCCAAUAUGAGUGGUGUCCUCAUGAAAAAGGGGAAACUUGGCCAGGUGUGGUGGCUCACGCCUGUAAUCCCAAUACUAUGGGAGGCCAAGGCAGGAGGAUCACCUGAGAUCAAGAGUUCAAAACCAGCCUGGCAACCUGGUGAAACCCCGUCUCUAUUAAAAAUAUUAAAAAAAUUAGCCGGGCACAGUGGCGGGUGCCUGUAAUCCCAGCUACUCGAGAGGCUGAGGCAGGAGAAUUGCUUGAACCCGGGACGUGGAGGUUGCAGUGAGCUGAGAUCGUGCCAUUGCACUCCAGCCUGGGCAACAAGAGCAAAACUCCGUCUCAAAAAAAAGAAAAAAAAAGUGGGGGGAAACUUAGAGACAGACAUUCACACAGGUAGAAGACCGAGUGAAGGUGAAGACAGGGAUAGGGCUGAUGAGUCUACAGCCACAGAACACCAAAUAAUGACAGCAAACCCACAGAAGCCACGGGAGAGGCCUGGAACAGCUUCUCCCUCCCAGCCUUCAGAACGAACCAAACCUGCUGACACCCUGAUCUUGGACUUCCAGCCUCCAGAACUGUGAGACAAUAAACUGCUGCUGCUUAAGCCACCUGGUCUCUGGUAUUUCACUAUGGUAACCUCAGGAAAAACUAACGCAGUAGGGGAGAGAGCCUGCCUUGGAGUCAAAUCAUGGGAAGACCCUGGCAAGACCUUGUUUCUCUGGGACUCAGUUCACUUAUCUGGAAAUGGGAGACCUGGCCUAGAACAGUGGGUUUCAAACUCAAAUUUAGCCCUAGAAUGAAAUCUGACACGGAAGCCCAAAUAUAAAAGGUAAAAUAAAGCCCAAUUGGGUAAAAGCCUGGUCUGGAUCACACAGUCUCCCUGCAGAGCAGUCUUUGAAAACCACAACUCCAGGUGAUCUGUAAAAUCCCUGCCACCACUCCAUUCUAAGACUGUCCAAACAAGAAACCCACGGACAGUAUCGCUGGGCAUCUUGCAUGUGCCUGAGCUCGUGCCUUCUCUUUCAAGGAGCUUCCGGCCGUAGUGGGGAGGUGAGACUCACACCGCAAAGACAGCGGGGCCACCCUUCCCUCCUGAGAGCUCCAGCUGCGGACAGGUCACCUGAUGUUCCAAACCCGACACAUCUAAAUUUAUUUCGCCCUCCAAGGACAAGCAGAUGCUGUGCCUUAUCACAGCACGGCAAGGUGGCAGAACGACAGACAUGACGCGCCCUUAUCACCCCAAGGACAGCAAUGACGUCUGCAGAGACUUGGUUUCCCUGACGAUGAAAUCAAGAGCUCACGUGCCAGCCAGGCAGGCCUGAAGGGGACUGGGUCACCAAGACGUGUGAGAUUGUGAUCAUCCUCUCAGGGGCCCCAGACUCAUCAGGGGGCACAAAGCUAACAAAGAAAGGGGGAAACAGUGUCACCAUUCCCUCUGCCCCACUGUGGAAUCAGGCAGGGUAUUUGGUCUUUAUUCAUUUGAUUUUUAAUUAGACAAAGAACAUGCCAAUUCAUUCUUUUUUUAAAAAAAAAAACAAUCUUACAGAUAAAGCCAGAGUCCCCUCUGACCUUCACGCCUUCCCUGGGGGUAACCAUUGUUAGGACUCAGGGCUGCAGGCUUCUAGAUGACAUACGUCCUUUCAAGGAAACACACUGGGCCAGAGCAGGGGCCUGGGCAGAGUGUGAUGCUUCCAGCUUCCCUGGGCAAACUGUGGAGCCGUGGGGAGGAAGGAAGGCUGAGGACUGCAGGAAUCAGGGCGGGCUUCCAAGAAGAGGAAGCUGGAGGCAGUGCUCUAGGAAGAGGAGGAUUCCGAUGACUCCAAGGCAACAGUCUCUGGGACACUGAACCCACUUCACCUCAGCACAAAAACAGCUGGCCUCAUUCAUCAUGUGUAGCCGAUUCAGCUUCUCUGGGAAACUCCAAAACCCUCUCAAAGGGUCCUCAACCUCUGCCCUCAAACCACUAUCGCCGUGAGGAUGACGAUGACAAUGACAAUGACGAUGCUGAUGACAAUGAUGGCCUGUGUGCAACACUCUGCUGGCCCUCCCAGAGGCUCUACCAGGAAUCCCCCACAGCCUGGGACUUCUGCUCCUGGAAACAGUUAAGGCUUUGGCAAGAGGCUCUCCCACAAGGCAAUUCGAUCUCCCCUGUCUGUCUGUGAGGGUUCGGGGCACUGCUGUGGCACGCCAGACACAGCAGCUACUUUCUGUGAACAGCCUCCUCAUAAACGUCAGUCCUGUUGGGGGGUGGGGAGGGGGCCUUGAUUUAUUAUAUAGCUUUUGGACAGUUCCUACAGAAAUAUUGCCAAACAGUGGAAUAAUCAACUCUUUCACUCAAGCCCCCUCAGACUUUUUUAAAUGAAAGAAUAAAGUACGCAAUGAGCCUGAGCUAAAUAAAUAAAAAUGCCACACUUUUGCCCAACAGACCUUUCUGCGUCACUGAGAAAUAUUUGCAGACCUCAACAAUCUUUUAUCUUCGUGAUGAUGUUCCAGCCUUCCAAGUUUCGGACAUCCUAAGAAAUUCUUUGAUUUGGGCUCUCUAAUGAUCUCCCAUGAACAAUUAUCCCAUUAACUAAUAAAGUCACUAUUUGAUGUUUCACCAA
This is a long non-coding RNA of Pan troglodytes (chimpanzee), 4212 nucleotides long. RefSeq lists it as uncharacterized. The transcript is spliced from 2 exons. The record is from RefSeq and is a predicted model, not a curated record. Lineage: Eukaryota; Metazoa; Chordata; Mammalia; Primates; Hominidae.